This is a non-coding RNA of Chelonoidis abingdonii (Abingdon island giant tortoise), 399 nucleotides long. The record is from RefSeq and is a predicted model, not a curated record. NCBI's taxonomy places the organism in Eukaryota, Metazoa, Chordata, Testudines, Testudinidae.
CUCAGUCCUCGCUCUGGUGCCUGAGGCUGGGAAGCGUUGUCCGUGGUGGCUGUUUCAGUUACAAUGGCCAUCAGAGGCCCUCUGCUGCGCUGUGGGUCGGGGGACACAGCCCUGAGUCUGGCCUCUCUUCGGGCCCCUGCAGACCAACGACCUGACCUCGGUCCACCUGGGCGUGAAGUUCAGCUGCCGCUUCACCCUGCGGGAGAUCCAGGAGAGGUGGUACGCGCUGCUCUACGACCCGGUCAUUUCCAAGCUGGCCUGUCAGGCCAUGCGACAGCUGCACCCCGAAACCAUCACAGCCAUCCAGAGCAAGGUGCUGUUCAGCAAAGCCGAGGAGCAGCUGCUGAGCAAGGUGGGAUCGGGCGCUGCACAAGACCCGAGACCUUUAAACCCGGCGCG